This is a long non-coding RNA of Arabidopsis thaliana (thale cress), 294 nucleotides long. RefSeq annotates it as other RNA. Lineage: Eukaryota; Viridiplantae; Streptophyta; Magnoliopsida; Brassicales; Brassicaceae. The record is from RefSeq. The transcript has a single exon.
UCGAUAAUGAAUGAGUGAUCAUGUCUUUUAUAUACUAUUGGUGAUUUUUACAUUUUCCAAAUGAGAUUGUAUAAGUCGCGCGUAGUCACGAAAAGAACAUGGUACUCACGAGCAAGCUCACGUGUAAGGCAGCAGUUGAACAAGUGUAUUGUCUCCUUAUCCACAUAUCCAUACGAAUUUGAACAUUUAUGAAGACAUACACACACAAGACUUGCGUAUGUAAAGAAAACAUGCACAUAAAGCCCCCAUACCUCUUUCUUUAUUUAUUUUCUCGUAAAUUGUUAGCCUCUCCCG